GACGAACGCUGGCGGCGUGCUUAACACAUGCAAGUCGAACGGAAAGGCACUGCUUUUGUGGGGUUCCCGAGUGGCGAACGGGUGAGGAACACGUGAGUAACCUGCCCUUGACUUUGGGAUAACUUCAGGAAACGGGGGCUAAUACCGGAUAGCAGCUCCUGCAGGAUGGUGGGGGUUGGAAAGUCUCGGCGGUUGGGGAUGGACUGGCGGCUUAUCAGCUUGUUGGUUGGGGAGUGGCUUACCAAGGCAUUGACUGGUAGCCGGCCUGGGAGGGUGACCGGCGACAAUGGGACUAAGGUACGGCGCAGACUCCUACGGGAGGCAGCAGUGGGGAAUAUGGCACAAUGGGCGGAAGCGUGAUGAAGCAACGCCGCGUGCGGGAUGACGGCCUUCGGGUUGUAAACCGCAUUCGCCUGUGACGAAGCGGGAGUGACGGUAAUGAGUAAAGAAGCACCGGCUAACUACGUG
RNAcentral lists this ribosomal RNA (468 nucleotides) under uncultured bacterium. RNAcentral describes it as "partial 16S ribosomal RNA". It matches the Rfam family "Bacterial small subunit ribosomal RNA", at positions 28 to 507 of the family's 1533-position model. The record is from RNAcentral.